CUGAGGCGUGAUGACGAGGCACUACGGUGCUGAAGCAACAAAUGCCCUGCUUCCAGGAAAAGCCUCUAAGCAUCAGGUAACACGAAAUCGUACCCCAAACCGACACAGGUGGUCAGGUAGAGAAUACCAAGGCGCUUGAGAGAACUCGGGUGAAGGAACUAGGCAAAAUGGUGCCGUAACUUCGGGAGAAGGCACGCUGACACGUAGGUGAAGUGAUUUACUCAUGGAGCUGAAGUCAGUCGAAGAUACCAGCUGGCUGCAACUGUUUAUUAAAAACACAGCACUGUGCAAACACGAAAGUGGACGUAUACGGUGUGACGCCUGCCCGGUGCCGGAAGGUUAAUUGAUGGGGUCAGCGCAAGCGAAGCUCCUGAUCGAAGCCCCGGUAAACGGCGGCCGUAACUAUAACGGUCCUAAGGUAGCGAAAUUCCUUGUCGGGUAAGUUCCGACCUGCACGAAUGGCGUAAUGAUGGCCAGGCUGUCUCCACCCGAGACUCAGUGAAAUUGAACUCGCUGUGAAGAUGCAGUGUACCCGCGGCAAGACGGAAAGACCCCGUGAACCUUUACUAUAGCUUGACACUGAACAUUGAGCCUUGAUGUGUAGGAUAGGUGGGAGGCUUUGAAGUGUGGACGCCAGUCUGCAUGGAGCCGGCCUUGAAAUACCACCCUUUAAUGUUUGAUGUUCUAACGUGGACCCGUUACCCGGGUUGCGGACAGUGUCUGGUGGGUAGUUUGACUGGGGCGGUCUCCUCCUAAAGAGUAACGGAGGAGCACGAAGGUUGGCUAAUCCUGGUCGGACAUCAGGAGGUUAGUGCAAUGGCAUAAGCCAGCUUGACUGCGAGCGUGACGGCGCGAGCAGGUGCGAAAGCAGGUCAUAGUGAUCCGGUGGUUCUGAAUGGAAGGGCCAUCGCUCAACGGAUAAAAGGUACUCCGGGGAUAACAGGCUGAUACCGCCCAAGAGUUCAUAUCGACGGCGGUGUUUGGCACCUCGAUGUCGGCUCAUCACAUCCUGGGGCUGAAGUAGGUCCCAAGGGUAUGGCUGUUCGCCAUUUAAAGUGGUACGCGAGCUGGGUUUAGAACGUCGUGAGACAGUUCGGUCCCUAUCUGCCGUGGGCGCUGGAGAACUGAGGGGGGCUGCUCCUAGUACGAGAGGACCGGAGUGGACGCAUCACUGGUGUUCGGGUUGUCAUGCCAAUGGCACUGCCCGGUAGCUAAAUGCGGAAGAGAUAAGUGCUGAAAGCAUCUAAGCACGAAACUUGCCCCGAGAUGAGUUCUCCCUGAGACUUNGUCUCCUGAAGGAACGUUGAAGACGACGACGUUGAUAGGCCGGGUGUGUAAGCGCAGCGAUGCGUUGAGCUAACCGGUACUAAUGAACCGUGAGGCUUAACC
Molecule: ribosomal RNA, 1389 nt
Filed under: Salmonella enterica subsp. enterica serovar Bovismorbificans
Lineage: Bacteria; Pseudomonadati; Pseudomonadota; Gammaproteobacteria; Enterobacterales; Enterobacteriaceae
Description: bacterial LSU rRNA
Rfam family: Bacterial large subunit ribosomal RNA
Source: RNAcentral